This 31-nucleotide non-coding RNA is filed under the name Homo sapiens (human). Lineage: Eukaryota; Metazoa; Chordata; Mammalia; Primates; Hominidae. The record is from RNAcentral.
UCUUCACGUGCGGAUCUUGAGCUUUCUCAAC